RNAcentral lists this ribosomal RNA (775 nucleotides) under uncultured Neocallimastigales. RNAcentral's name for it is "partial large subunit ribosomal RNA". It matches the Rfam family "Eukaryotic large subunit ribosomal RNA", at positions 24 to 627 of the family's 3401-position model. The record is from RNAcentral. Lineage: Eukaryota; Fungi; Neocallimastigomycota; Neocallimastigomycetes; Neocallimastigales.
UAUCUCUGUAGAGUCUGCAUAUCAAUAAGCGGAGGAAAAGAAACUAACCUAGGAUUCCCUCAGUAACGGCGAGUGAAGCGGGAAGAGCUCAAAUUUGAAAUCUUCAAGGUUCUACCUUGACGAAUUGUAGUUUAAAGAAGUGUUUUCUGUUGGAGUUUUGGUAAAAGUUCUUUGGAAUAGGACAUCAUAGAGGGUGAGAAUCCCGUAUUUGACCAUUAUUUCCAGCUUUGUGAUACACUUUCAAAGAGUCGGAUUGUUUGGGAAUGCAGUCCAAAAUGGGUGGUAAAUUUCAUCUAAAGCUAAAUAUUGGCGAGAGACCGAUAGCGAACAAGUACCGUGAGGGAAAGAUGAAAAGAACUUUGAAAAGAGAGUUAAACAGUACGUGAAAUUGUCAAAAGGGAAGCGUUUGACACCAGUGUUGUUUUCUCGAAAAUCAAUUAAAAAAGGCAGGAUUUUGUGUUGUAUUGACUCUAUCAGCUUUCUGCACUCUUUUCUUGUCUUUUUUAAUGCACUUUUCGUUUAACAAGUCAACAUCAAUUUCUUUUGUUGUAAAAGGGUCAUUGGAAGGUGGCUUUCUUUUCGGAGAAAGUGUUUAUAGCCUUUGGCCUCUGCAAUCGGAGAGAUUGAGGUCUGCAGCGUAGAUCCUUCGGGGUUAGAUACAUUUGUGCUAAGUUAUAGCCUUUCAUAGACAACUUGUUGACUAUGAUCAGUCAUGUAGCUUACUCGCUUAUGUUAUUUUACCUACGCUUAGGAUGUUGACGAUCAGCUGAGCGCG